RNAcentral lists this ribosomal RNA (468 nucleotides) under uncultured bacterium. Its description in RNAcentral is "partial 16S ribosomal RNA". It matches the Rfam family "Bacterial small subunit ribosomal RNA", at positions 28 to 507 of the family's 1533-position model. The record is from RNAcentral.
GACGAACGCUGGCGGCGUGCUUAACACAUGCAAGUCGAACGGAAAGGCCCUGCUUUUGUGGGGUGCUCGAGUGGCGAACGGGUGAGUAACACGUGAGUAACCUGCCCUUGACUUUGGGAUAACUUCAGGUAACUGGGGCUAAUACCGGAUAGGAGCUCCUGCUGCUUGGUGGGGGUUGGAAAGUUUCGGCGGUUGGGGAUGGACUCGCGGCUUAUCAGCUUGUUGGUGGGGUAGUGGCUUACCAAGGCUUUGACGGGUAGCCGGCCUGAGAGGGUGACCGGCCACAUUGGGACUGAGAUACGGCCCAGACUCCUACGGGAGGCAGCAGUGGGGAAUAUUGCACAAUGGGCGGAAGCCUGAUGCAGCAACGCCGCGUGCGGGAUGACGGCCUUCGGGUUGUAAACCGCUUUCGCCUGUGACGAAGCGUGAGUGACGGUAAUGGGUAAAGAAGCACCGGCUAACUACGUG